AACAAAUGCCAAAUGUCUUCUUUGAUAUAAUGAGAGCAACUAAGAACAGAGCAGGGAGGAAGAGCAGGAGGAAAAGAUUAACAUUAAACAGAGACAUGAGGUGGGAGGGAAAGGGAGAGAGAAGGGAAAUUGCAUGGAAAUGGAAGGAGACCCUCAUUGUUACACAAAAUUGCAUAUAAGAGGUUGUGAGGGGAAUGGGAAAAAAACAAGGAGAGAAAUGAAUUACAGUAGAUGGGGUAGAGAGAGAAGAUGGGAGGGGAGGGGAGGGGGGAUAGUAGAAGUUAGGAAAGGCAGCAGAAUACAACAGUUACUAAUAUGGCAUUAUGUAAAAAUGUGGAUGUGUAACCGACGUGAUUCUGCAAUCUGUAUACGGGGUAAAAAUGGGAGUUCAUAACCCACUUGAAUCUAAUGUAUGAAAUAUGAUAUGUCAAGAGCUUUGUAAUGUUUUGAACAACAAAUAAAAUAAAAUAAAAUAAAAUGCUUUUCCUGAA
Molecule: long non-coding RNA, 491 nt
Filed under: Marmota monax (woodchuck)
Lineage: Eukaryota; Metazoa; Chordata; Mammalia; Rodentia; Sciuridae
Source: RNAcentral